This 1229-nucleotide ribosomal RNA is filed under the name metagenome. RNAcentral's name for it is "bacterial LSU rRNA". It matches the Rfam family "Bacterial large subunit ribosomal RNA", at positions 1715 to 2925 of the family's 2925-position model. The record is from RNAcentral.
CCGCAAAUUGACACCGUAACUUCGGGAGAAGGUGUGCCUCUGGCGGUUAAUGACCUUGCGUCAUGAAGCUGUUGGAGGUCGCAGUGAAAUGGCGGUUGUGACUGUUUACUAAAAACACAGGACUCUGCGAACUCGUAAGAGGACGUAUAGGGUCUGAUGCCUGCCCGGUGCUGGAAGGUUAAGGGAAUUUGUCAGGGGCAACCCGAAGCAAUGAACCGAAGCCCCAGUAAACGGCGGCCGUAACAAUAACGGUCCUAAGGUAGCGAAAUUCCUUGUCGGGUAAGUUCCGACCUGCACGAAGGGCAUAACAACAUCCGCACUGUCUCGACCAGGGACUCAGCGAAAUUUCAUUGGGGGUGAAGAUGCCCUCUACCCGCGGCAAGACGGAAAGACCCCAUGAACCUUCACUGCAACUUGGCAGUGAAAUUCGGGUUGAUCUGCGUAGGAUAGGUGGGAGGCUUUGAAGUCGGGUUUCCGGAUUCGACUGAGCCAACGUUGAAAUACCACCCUGAUUAAUCUGGAUUUCUAACCUACAUCCGUAAUCCGGAUGAGGGACACUGCCUGGUGGGCAGUUUGACUGGGGCGGUCGCCUCCUAAAUUGUAACGGAGGCGUGCGAAGGUUCCCUCAGGCUGAUUGGAAACCAGCCGGAGAGUGCAAACGCAUAAGGGAGCUUUACUGUGAGACUGACAAGUCGAGCAGUUGCGAAAGCAGGUGUUAGUGAUCCGGUGGUACCGAGUGGAAGGGCCAUCGCUCAUCGGAUAAAAGGUACUCUGGGGAUAACAGGCUGAUCGCGCCUGAGAGUUCACAUCGGCGGCGCGGUUUGGCACCUCGAUGUCGGCUCAUCGCAUCCUGGGGCUGGAGCAGGUCCCAAGGGUUUGGCUGUUCGCCAAUUAAAGCGGUACGCGAGCUGGGUUUAAAACGUCGUGAGACAGUUUGGUCCCUAUCUGCCGUGGGCGCAGGAUACUUGAGAGGAGCUACCCAUAGUACGAGAGGACCUGGGUGGACGAACCUCUGGUGCUCCGGUUGUCACGCCAGUGGCAUAGCCGGGUAGCUAUGUUCGGAACAGAUAACCGCUGAAAGCAUAUAAGCGGGAAGCUGGCCUCAAGACUAGGUAUCCCUGACGUAAGUCGCUAAAGGUCCCACGUAGACUACGUGGUUGAUAGGCUGGAUGUGGAAGCGUAGCGAUACGCGGAGCUAACCAGUACUAAUAGACCGUGCGGCUUGACUC